RNAcentral lists this unclassified non-coding RNA (1551 nucleotides) under Hevea brasiliensis (rubber tree). Lineage: Eukaryota; Viridiplantae; Streptophyta; Magnoliopsida; Malpighiales; Euphorbiaceae. The record is from RNAcentral.
CUCAACUGUUGUAGAAAACAAUAGCAUUAAACAGAUUUUAGAAACCUAUAAAAACAAGGGUAAUUUUAGAGAAAUAAGAUGAUGCUACGCAAGAUAACAAAUCACAUUAACUUCAAAGGAGCCUGAGUGUCGAUGAUGGAUGGUAAAUGUUAGGGAAAAUUUAUUUCAUAGAGGAACAUAAUCAAACAAUACAAAUUAUAAAUACUAUUAGAGAAAGCUGAAAUACAUGCACUCUGACCAAGCAAGAACGCCAAUAUUCAAAUCAAAACGUUACAUGCAGAAAGACAGCAGUUAAAUGCGUUUACCCUUUCAGGCUGGCAAGGUCGUCCUAGUUCUUCACUGUUGUCACAUGCUUCAGAAGCAUAUGUACCACAUCAUGGGAUAUUCUUGCUGCAUCUAUCUUGAGGUGAUGAAUCUUUGCCUCCGUUUCUUGCUCAAGCCGCUUCACAUUAGCACCAGAAUCCCCGCUACUCUCCGCAACUUUCCUCUGAAAUUCCACUUCCACAUGAGCACGAAAUUCAGUAAUAUCCUUUUCAGCCUCUUCCUUGGCUUGUUUCAAUCUAGCCAUUUUUGCAUUUCUGGCAGCAUUGACAACGUGCUGAGCUUCCUGUUCUGCAGCUAGCAGGAGUUGAAUUCCAUUCUGACCUCUGGUGGCAUCCAUUCUUCCUGUAAUUUCUAAUGGAACAUGAAAUAUAAAGUAUCGGUUAGUAUUGGAUAGUAUGAAAACAAAAUAGCUCUUCCAGUAACAGAAUAAAGUGGCUUGAGCAAGGACCCAAUCAAAUGAACAAUAUCAGCAAUAAAAACUGCACGCUUUCAGGGAAAACUUCAAUUUCAGAACAGCCCAGGCACAAAUGUAAGUUACCCAGAAAAAUGGCAUCCCCCUGGAUCAACUCUUUCAACACAUAGCAUCUAAAAUUCCACCUCAGAUAAAAUUAAGGAAACUCAACACCCAACAAAACCCAACCCUUGCCACAUGAUUUUUUUUGCUCCAAUAAAGUGAAGAAAAGAACUGUGCUCAAUUUGUUCUUCUAUAGCUAACAAGGUUCAGCGCCUGAAUACGAAAAUUGCAGCCUAAAAAUGAAGAACCGAAUAAUGGCAAAAUUGGGGAUGUUGCAAGAGGGUAACCCCUCAUCCUAGCAAGGGUACAAGGGUAUGGUAACAACAACCCCUAAUGAUGAUGCAGACAAGCUAAAUGAUUCUGUCUUUGCGUAUUCAACUAUUCAUGUUCUUAAAAGGCCACAAAUAGAGCAUAUUAAAAGUGGUACUUGUAACCAAAUAUCACAAUUACAAGUUACAAUGUUAAAAAGCUCAAAAGCAAUGAACCAGCAUGAAGAUUGAAAAUUUGAAAUUUAUGAAAAAAAUGACUUCAUCAUGUUGACAUACUAGAACCGGAAUUAAUUUGCAGCUUUGCUUGUCCUUACUCAACUCAGCUAAGUUCAACUAAGAUUUAAUUCCAAUCUAAUUGGGUUUGCAUCUUCAGUUAAAUCAAGUACCCAAAACAAAUUAAAUCUACACUGAAGAAAAUUGACAUUUCAAAGAGCUACGAUGAAG